Molecule: non-coding RNA, 4087 nt
Organism: Sus scrofa (pig)
Lineage: Eukaryota; Metazoa; Chordata; Mammalia; Artiodactyla; Suidae
Source: RefSeq, a predicted model, not a curated record
CCUACAAUGAGCCCGCCGAUUGGCCGCAGCUGGGGCCGCGCUGCCUUGUGAGGUAGAAGCCGGGGGCGGGGAAGCACCGCCUUCCUUCCGGUCCGGCUCGCCGAGAGCAGGAAGCGGGCGGAAGCAGGUGGCUCUCGCGAGCAUUUAGUCAGCCCAGCUAGGCUCGAACGGAGGGUGUUUCUUAAAGGGAGAGGCGCUUGGGUUAUCUUUUCCGUCCCACUUUCUUGAAUGGAAUGGACCUCUGAGGUUCCACGACGCGCCUCCACUCGAGCCGGGACGCGUGGUUUGAACUGCUUCUGAGAAGCCUCAAAGAGGCGCCUCGCGCUUUGCUGCUUCUUAGCAGACGGAGCGCUCGGGCCUGCGUGCAUCACAGCUGCACGGACUAGUGUUCAAGCUCUCCGCCAGGGUAUCCGGAUUGGGAAACUUCUCCCGGGUAGUCUGGCACCCCGACACCCUCGGGGACAAAAGAGCCACUCACGUCCCGCCUUCGCGCCUUAGUGCUAAGAGAGGUUCACUUUGGACCUGGAACUUUACGAGGGGGAAGAAAGCAGAGACUGACUGAGUUUGGAGACCUGAAGUAUCUGAUGCCACGUAUGGUUUCGUCUGAGCUCCUGAGAGUGGAAGGGGGGAGAGUAUUGAAGCAAAAUGGGCAGCUCUCUUUUGGAGUUAGGAGUUGUAGUUGGCUACUUUAUGUCUCUUCACCUCAGCUGCAGUCAUUCAAAUAUUUGGGUCCGAACUGUUCCAGGCCGGGUUUUCUUGAGAAGAUUGAGCAGAACCAAACAGAAUCCUUGUUCUAGAGAGUAGGUCUUCCUAUAACAUGAAAGAAUAAUUAGCAGGAUGAGAGUGAGCCAUGCCCUUGGACCACCUGGAGAGGAGGUAAGUUCUUAAUGUUUCCAUUGCUGCCUUUUUUAACUAAGUAGAGAUCCUUGUAGAAUAGCUAGACAGAUGCUAAUCUUUUAGUUCAACUCCAUAAAUAUUUAUUAUGUACUAGUUUUCUGUCUUGCACUGGGAUGAGUGCUGAUUUUUUUUUUUUUUUUUUUUUUUUUUUUUUUUUCCUGCCCUGUUGUGUGUGGAGUUCCUGGUCCAGGGAAUCAGAUCUGAACUGCAGUUACUGUGGCAAUACUGGACCCUUUAACCCAUUGCACCGGGCCAGGGAAUCUAACCUGCAUCCUGGCCCUGUAGAGACACCGCUGAUCCCCUUGUGCCACAGUGAGACCUCCUGAACGUUCUUUAGAUGUAGUGCAGUCCUUGAAUUUAUGGUCUUUUUUUUUUUAGGGGAAAUAAGAUAUAGCAAUAUUGAACAAUAGAUAACAAUAUAAAAGAAGUCCUGUUUAUAGGAUUGAGCCAGAAAUGAACAAAUUAAGCCUGGAACACCUUACUAUAUUAGUAAGAAAGGAAAUAAACAAAUACUGCUGUGGUCUUUCUCUUCUUUUCUGUGGUACUUUUAAUGCCCCAGUAAGCUUUUUGUUUUCUUAUUGCGUUCUAAUCGACAUCUAACAUCAUGUUAGUUUCAGGUGUACGACAUGAUUUGCUCUAUGUUUAUAUUGUGAAAUGAUAACAGUAAGUCUAGUUAAAAUCCAUCAUCAUACAUAAAUAAUUUUUUUUUCUUGUGUUGAGGACCUUUAAGAUUUACCUUAGCAGCUUUCAAAUAUGCAACACAGUAUUAUUAACAACAGUCAUCAUCCUAUACAUUACAUCCCCAAGACUGAUUUAUUUUAUAAUUGGAAAUUUGUAACUUUUUGAGCCCCUUCGUCCGCUUCACUCACUUCCUGUCACUCCCACCACACUGCCAGUCUGUGCUCUGUUUACAUAAGCUUGGUUUUUUUAGAUUCCAAAUAUAAAUGAGAUCAUACAGUAUUUGUCUUUUUUUUUUUUUUUUUUUUUUUGCUUUUUAGGGCAGAACCCACAGUGUUAGGAGGUUCCCAGAUUAGGGGUCUCAUUGGAACUACAGCUGCCAGCCUAUACCACAGCUACAGAAACUCGGGAUCUGAGCCGUGUCUGCAACCCUACACCACAGCUCAUGGCAAUGCCAGAUCCCCGACCUGCUGAGUGAGGCCAGGAAUUGAACCCCCAUCCUCAUACAUACUAGCUGGAUUGUUUCCCCUGCGCCACAACAGGAACUCCAGUAUUUGUCUUUUUCUGACUUACUUACUAGUAUGUUGCUUUCAAGGUCCAGCCGCAUUAUCAUAAAUGGGAAGAACUCUUUUUUAUGGCUGAGUAUUAUUCCAUUGUGCAUAUACACAUCUUCCAUCUCCAUUCAUUCAUCACUGGAUACUUAGGUUGUUUCCAUAUCUUGGCUACUGUAAAUAAUGCGGCAGUGAACAUGGGGGUGCACGAAUCUUUUCAGAUCUGUGUAUUUGUUUUCUUUGGAUAAAUAUCCAGAAGUGGAAUUUUUGGAUUUAAUUUUUUGAGCAACCUUCAUACUCUUUUCUGUAGUAGCUGCAGCAUUUUACAUUCCCAGUCAUGGUGCCCAGAGGUUUCCUUUUCUCUACAUCAGUGUUACCACUUUUUCUUGUCUUUUCGAUAAAAGACAUUCUAAUAAGUUUGAGGUGAUACCUCAUUGUGGUUUUGAUUUUUCUAAUGAUUAGUGAUAUUUAGGACUUUUCAUGUACCAAUUGGCCACCUGUAUGUCUUUUUUGGGAAAAAAGUGUAUGUCUUAUGCUCAUGUUUUGCUUGUAUUGGGUUUGUUUUUUUGUUUUUUGCUGUUGAAGAUCUAGCAUUGCUGCAGGUGUGGCAUAGGUUACAACUGUGCCUUAGAUCUGAUCCCUGCCCUGAAACUUCAUGUGCUGUGGGGCAGCAAAAAAGAAAAGAGAGAGAGGGACACUUAAGCAAACAAUAUAGGGUUUGGCCUUUAUUGGUUCUUCACUCUUUAACAGUUGAAAAAAGUUAUGAAACAAUUGGGAUGAUUUGAACAUUCAAGUUUAUGCUUUCAAGGAGUUAUUUAAAUGUCAUGAUAUUGUUAUAUUUUAUAGAAUAAUCCUUCUAGAGGUCCAUAUUGAGAUGUUAGAGUUAGAUGUUAAUUAGGGUUUCCUGGAAUUUGCUUCAAAAUAAUCCAAGAGAAGAUGGGAGAAAAUAUAAUAAAAGCUGUAAUAAGUUGCUGAAUCAAACAUUUAAAAGUUGAAAGAUAAGAAUUAGAGUGAAGUAGGCAGUAUGAGCUGAAUGAGGAAGGCUUCAUGGAAGAGGGUUGACACAAAAUGGAAAAGCAGGAUUGGGGAUGGCAGGGGGUAUGGCUUGAAUUUAAGUGGUUAGACUAGUAAGGUAGAUUGAUUUUCUCUUUUAGGAAAUAGGUGGUUCUUAGCUUUUUGGUCACAGAUUCCUUCAAGAAAUCAGUAAAAGCAGCAGACUGUUUUCCCAGAAAAAUUUAAGUUUUGCAUUAUUGCAUUUUAUAAUCAGUGGCUUGUGGACUUCCCCCCCCCCCCCCCCCCGCCGCCGAAAUCACUUGCGUGGAUUCCCCUAUAUCUCUACCUUCAGGGUCAGGGUCUACAAGAAACUGUCUAAGAGCUUACAGUUUAGGGGGGAACAUCUUACUUUACUGGUUCCUGUGAUCUCAUUCAGAGUGGAACCUUGUAAUUAUUAAUGGCUAGUUCAGCUGCGGUAUUCUCUUUAGUGUGAAGAUAAAUUUGUUUCCUGACCUGCUGCAGCAGAGAUGGGUUUGAUGAUGGUGUAUUUUACUAGGUUUUACCAUAUGAAAUUGCUGAUAUUCAGCUGUUUUUGAAAUGGCUAUUUUGGAGUUCCCAUUGUGGUGCAGUAGAAAUGAAUCCAUCUAGGAACCAUGAGGUUGUGGAUUCAAUCCUUGGCCAAUGGGUUAAGGAUCAAGCAUUGCUGUGAGCUCUGGUGUCAGUCACAGACUUGGCUCAGAUCUGGCGUUGCUGUGGGUGUGGCGUAGGCCAGCAGCUGUAGCUCUGAUUCGAAGACCCUUAUUCUGGGAACCUCCAUAUGCUGCAAGUGCGGCCCUAAAAAGCAAAAAAGAAAAGAAAGAAAUGGCUAUUUCAAUAAUGGUUCUUUCUGUAAUUGCUAAAUUAUUUCAUGCUGAUCAGAUAUAGGGUAGGUUACCUGAUAGAGGAUACAAAAGGAAGAGAACAGCCCU